GCUGGGUGCAGUGACAUAUGUACAUAGUCUCAGCUACUCAGGAGGCUGAGGCAGGAGGAUCACUUGAGCCCAGGAGAUCUAGGCUGUAGUGUGCUAUGCCGAUCAGGUGUCCACACUAAGUUCAUCAGUAAUAUGAUGAACUCUCAGCUGCAGGGGACCACCAGGUUGGAAACAGAGCAGGUCAAAACUCUCAUGCUGAUCAGUUGUGAGAUCACGCCUGUGAACAGCCACUGCAUUCCAGCCUGGGCAACAUGAAAAGACCCCAUCUCU
RNAcentral lists this signal recognition particle RNA (270 nucleotides) under Carlito syrichta (Philippine tarsier). RNAcentral's name for it is "Metazoan signal recognition particle RNA (ENSTSYG00000028045.1)". It matches the Rfam family "Metazoan signal recognition particle RNA". Rfam says of the family: The signal recognition particle (SRP) is a universally conserved ribonucleoprotein. The record is from RNAcentral. Lineage: Eukaryota; Metazoa; Chordata; Mammalia; Primates; Tarsiidae.